Ribosomal RNA from Ictidomys tridecemlineatus (thirteen-lined ground squirrel), 103 nucleotides. Lineage: Eukaryota; Metazoa; Chordata; Mammalia; Rodentia; Sciuridae. The record is from Ensembl.
AAUAAUGGUCAUACUGCCCUGAACUUGCCUGAUCUUGGAAGCUAAGCAGUGUUGGGCCUGGUUAGUACUUGGAUGGGAAGGGGGAAACAUCUUAUGUUUAUUU